GGCUUUAUAUUCAAAAAAUGAUUUUAAAUUGCAAAUUUGAGGGUGUAAUUAAUUUACUAAGGCUU
Molecule: transfer RNA, 65 nt
Filed under: Sosibia gibba
Lineage: Eukaryota; Metazoa; Arthropoda; Insecta; Phasmatodea; Lonchodidae
Description: tRNA-Cys
Source: RNAcentral